RNAcentral lists this ribosomal RNA (407 nucleotides) under uncultured bacterium. RNAcentral describes it as "partial 16S ribosomal RNA". It matches the Rfam family "Bacterial small subunit ribosomal RNA", at positions 28 to 526 of the family's 1533-position model. The record is from RNAcentral.
GACGAACGCUGGCGGCGUGCCUAAUACAUGCAAGUCGGACGCAGGUGAGAACGGGUGAGUAACGCGUAGGUAACUACCUAUUAGAGGGGGAUAACCAUUGGAUACGAUAGCUAAUACCGCAUACUAGGAGAUGGCUCUUCGUUGUAUUAGUUAGUAGGUAGGGGAAUGGCCUACCUCGGAAACGAGACCUAGACGACCUGGGAGGGGGAUCGGCCCCACUGGGACUGAGACACGGCCCAGACUCCUACGGGAGGCAGCAGUAGUGAAUCUGCGGCAAUGGGGGGAACCCUGACCGAGCAACGCCGCGUGAGUGAAGAAGGUUUUCGGAUCGUAAAGCGCUGUUGUUAAGGAAGCGGUACUUAACCAGAAAGGGACGGCUAACUACGUGCCAGCAGCCGCGGUAAUUC